ACCAAUUGUUUAGGCUUGUAACACAGUACGUUUCCUCGCGUGCGAUCGGUAUCGUUCAAGUCUGAGAACUGAGGCGGUCUCGACUGAUACACCAAUUAUACACAUAUGCUAUUCAUCUUCAAUACCAAAACAGCUUUUCAACAUAUGAAAACGAACGAUGAAGCGGAUAAUGGAUUUGAUACACGACAGGUUUAAAUUCCGUCCAUUGCAGACGUAUUUCCCUCACUGACACUUCGGACUUCCUUGCGAGCGGUGAAAAGGAU
Molecule: non-coding RNA, 263 nt
Organism: Paramuricea clavata
Lineage: Eukaryota; Metazoa; Cnidaria; Anthozoa; Malacalcyonacea; Plexauridae
Source: the annotation of a GenBank genome assembly